Molecule: long non-coding RNA, 1337 nt
Filed under: Gossypium barbadense (sea-island cotton)
Lineage: Eukaryota; Viridiplantae; Streptophyta; Magnoliopsida; Malvales; Malvaceae
Description: long non-coding RNA (GBAR_LNC017230)
Source: RNAcentral
UAAGGGACUAGACCAGUGAUAGUGCCACCUUACAUCAUCAGCCUAGGAGCAUACAGAUGCAAGCUCACCUCUAGCGGAAUCAGGGAGCAGUUCCUUUACUGUAGCCAAAAGCAUCUUUAGUAAGAUAUUCCUGAAGGAUCACAAACAGCAAAAUCAGAUGAAAUUGUCAUCAUCUUCUGAUUCAUAAUCAGUUGAUGCAAAAUAUCAUACUCUCAAGAAAUGAAUGCUUCAUAUAAAAUUCUUGGUUACAAAUGCACAAAAUAAUUAAAACACAUACUCGAAAAUCAAACAAAAGAACCAACCCAAAUCCCUGAAUGUUCAAUUAUUAAGCUGGUUCCAUCAUGAACACUAAAGCUCAAUCUUAUUAAAUAACAAAUAAUAGAUUAAAUUUCCUUAAUCAAGAUAAAUGAUUUUAUGGUUCAAAACAUUUGGAGAGUCUAUAUACUACACAAGAAUAAUUUUAAAAAAAAAAGGAAAAGAAGUCUCAUCUCAACUAUCUUCCAAACAGCAAAAUGACCGUCCUUUCCCCAACCAAACACCCCAUGAAGCAGUUGCAUAAGAACAAGCAGCCUUCCGACCCAUAGUAGCUCAUGCCAACCCAUUCUUCUAAAACCCAUUAAUUGAAUUCUGUAAAGUUUCAUAAGCCAACUUUUUUAUUUGUGUUUAGGAAGAAAAAUAAAUAUUUUUCAGGUUGAGUUUAUUAGAAGAUGAAGAAACAAGCAAUAACGGAACAAAAAGAUAAAAACCCCUUUUGAUCCAUAAUAAUCUUAUUUUUAAUUUGGAAAAUAUCAAAUCAAUCCAAACCUAAGAUUGCUUAAGGUAUCAAUUAAAAAAAUUAAAAAAUUUCAGAAGAACUGAAAACAUCAAUGAAAACCCCAAUUUUCUAAACACCAAAUCAACAUAAACUAGAAUUCGAAGAAAAGAGAAAAUAAAUUGCAGAAGAUCUAGAAAUUAAAGAAAAACACAAAAAUAAACAGCCAAUGAGAAAAUUAAAAAAAACACAAUGUCGAUUAAGACUGAGAAAGGAUUGAUAUUUUAUUCAAUGUAAGGAGCAGCUAAAAUAGAAGAACAAGGGACGAGAUUUUGGGAUUUCCUGCAACGAAGAGACUGAGAAAGAAAAGGACGUCGUCUGGUAGAGAGAUGGAAAGCUGGGUUCCUUUGAAAGGGUCAGGUGAAGAGGAACGAGAGAAAGGGAGAGGGGAAAGGGGAAAGGGCAAAGGGCAAAGGGUAAUAGGAGAAAGGACUUGGUGAAUGGAAAUGGAACAGUAUCAAAACAAAGUUCAAAACAUUGUCCGCCAUGGGAAGAUUUCAUGGGGGAAAAUUUGGGUAAAAUGUCC